Molecule: ribosomal RNA, 304 nt
Filed under: uncultured bacterium
Lineage: Bacteria
Description: partial 16S ribosomal RNA
Rfam family: Bacterial small subunit ribosomal RNA
Source: RNAcentral
CAGCAGCAGCCACGGGAACACGGAGGGUGCAAGCGUUAAUCGGAAUUACUGGGCGUAAAGCGCACGCAGGCGGUCUGUCAAGUCGGAUGUGAAAUCCCCGGGCUCAACCUGGGAACUGCAUUCGAAACUGGCAGGCUAGAGUCUUGUAGAGGGGGGUAGAAUUCCAGGUGUAGCGGUGAAAUGCGUAGAGAUCUGGAGGAAUACCGGUGGCGAAGGCGGCCCCCUGGACAAAGACUGACGCUCAGGUGCGAAAGCGUGGGGAGCAAACAGGAUUAGAUACCCGCGUAGUCCCUGUCUCUUAUAC